CUCCUACGGGAGGCAGCAGUGGGGAAUAUUGGGCAAUGGGCGCAACUGUACCCAGCAACGCCGCGUGAAGGAAGAAGGCUUUCGGGUUGUAAACUUCUUUUAAGAGGGAAGAGCAGAAGACGGUACCUCUAGAAUAAGCCACGGCUAACUACGUGCCAGCAGCCGCGGUAAUACGUAGGUGGCAAGCGUUGUCCGGAUUUACUGGGUGUAAAGGGCGUGCAGCCGGGUCUGCAAGUCAGAUGUGAAAUCCAUGGGCUCAACCCAUGAACUGCAUUUGAAACUGUAGAUCUUGAGUGUCGGAGGGGCAAUCGGAAUUCCUAGUGUAGCGGGUGAAAUGCGUAGAUAUUAGGAGGAACACCAGUGGCGAAGGCGGAUUGCUGGACGAUAACUGACGGUGAGGCGCGAAAGUGUGGGGAGCAAACAGGAUUAGAUACCCUGGUAGUCCACACUGUAAACGAUGAAUACUAGGUGUGCGGGGACUGACCCCCUGCGUGCCGCAUUAAACACAAUAAGUAUUCCACCUGGGGAGUACGAUCGCAAGGUUGAAACUCAAAGGAAUUGACGGGGGCCCGCACAAGCAGUGGAGUAUGUGGUUUAAUUCGACGCAACGCGAAGAACCCUACCAAGUCUUGACAUCCUGCGACGAUGCUGGAAACAGUAUUUUCCUUCGGGACGCAGAGACAGGUGGUGCAUGGUUGUCGUCAGCUCGUGUCGUGAGAUGUUGGGUUAAGUCCCGCAACGAGCGCAACCCUUACUGUCAGUUACUACGCAAGAGGACUCUGGCAGGACUGCCGUUGACAAAACGGAGGAAGGUGGGGAUGACGUCAAAUCAUCAUGCCCUUUAUGACUUGGGCUACACACGUACUACAAUGGCGUUAAACAAAGAGAAGCAAGACCGCGAGGUGGAGCAAAACUCAGAAACAACGUCCCAGUUCGGACUGCAGGCUGCAACUCGCCUGCACGAAGUCGGAAUUGCUAGUAAUCGUGGAUCAGCAUGCCACGGUGAAUACGUUCCCGGCCUUUACACACCGC
This 1032-nucleotide ribosomal RNA is filed under the name uncultured bacterium. RNAcentral describes it as "bacterial SSU rRNA". It matches the Rfam family "Bacterial small subunit ribosomal RNA", at positions 336 to 1393 of the family's 1533-position model. The record is from RNAcentral.